Molecule: ribosomal RNA, 523 nt
Filed under: uncultured Micromonosporaceae bacterium
Lineage: Bacteria; Bacillati; Actinomycetota; Actinomycetes; Micromonosporales; Micromonosporaceae
Description: bacterial SSU rRNA
Rfam family: Bacterial small subunit ribosomal RNA
Source: RNAcentral
CGGCGAACGGGUGAGUAACACGUGAGUAACCUGCCCUGGACUUUGGGAUAACCCUCGGAAACGGGGGCUAAUACCGAAUAUGACGACUCACCGCAUGGUGUGGUUGUGGAAAGUUUUUCGGUCUGGGAUGGGCUCGCGGCCUAUCAGCUUGUUGGUGGGGUGAUGGCCUACCAAGGCGACGACGGGUAGCCGGCCUGAGAGGGCGACCGGCCACACUGGGACUGAGACACGGCCCAGACUCCUACGGGAGGCAGCAGUGGGGAAUAUUGCACAAUGGGCGGAAGCCUGAUGCAGCGACGCCGCGUGAGGGAUGACGGCCUUCGGGUUGUAAACCUCUUUCAGCAGGGACGAAGCGCAAGUGACGGUACCUGCAGAAGAAGCGCCGGCCAACUACGUGCCAGCAGCCGCGGUAAGACGUAGGGCGCGAGCGUUGUCCGGAUUUAUUGGGCGUAAAGAGCUCGUAGGCGGCUUGUCGCGUCGACUGUGAAAUCCCGCGGCUCAACCGCGGGUCUGCAGCCGAUAC